Molecule: ribosomal RNA, 253 nt
Filed under: uncultured bacterium
Lineage: Bacteria
Description: partial 16S ribosomal RNA
Rfam family: Bacterial small subunit ribosomal RNA
Source: RNAcentral
UACAGGGGGUGCAACCGUUGCUCGGAAUCAUUGGGCGUAAAGCGCACGUAGGCGGUCUGUUAUGUCGGAUGUGAAAGCCCUUGGCUCAACUGAGGAAGUGCAUCCGAAACUGGCAGGCUAGAGUACUAAAGAGGGUCGCGGAAUUCCCGGUGUAGAGGUGAAAUUCGUAGAUAUCGGGAGGAACACCGGUGGCGAAGGCGGCGACCUGGGUAGAUACUGACGCUGAGGUGCGAAAGCGUGGGGAGCAAACAGG